CCAGCCUGGAGCUUGUGUAAUUCCUAGUUACCAUGGGAUGUCAAUCCCAUGGCAGAAAAAGAUAAACAAAUAGAGACAUAAUUAGCGUAGCUGCUGUUCAGCAAAAUUGAUUCGUUUAAC
Sinocyclocheilus rhinocerous is the source of this 120-nucleotide long non-coding RNA. RefSeq lists it as uncharacterized. Lineage: Eukaryota; Metazoa; Chordata; Actinopteri; Cypriniformes; Cyprinidae. The record is from RefSeq and is a predicted model, not a curated record. The transcript is spliced from 3 exons.